This 501-nucleotide long non-coding RNA is filed under the name Bos indicus x Bos taurus (hybrid cattle). RNAcentral's name for it is "lncRNA (ENSBIXG00000016742.1)". Lineage: Eukaryota; Metazoa; Chordata; Mammalia; Artiodactyla; Bovidae. The record is from RNAcentral.
AUGACUUCCAGAAGGCAGCACUGGGAAUUUCAUGUGUUUCUGCCUGCACGUUGGGACAGGCAGUACAAGUAUUUUCAAGGUACUGUGGAAACAAAGUCAGACUGGAAACCGGGUCAUAAGAUGGAUACUGCCUGGAGGCCUAGAGGGAAGUGUGACCUUCCUUUUCUUGUGGGUAUGCAAGAUGUACAGGGCAAAACCCUGAAGCCUUGCCUCCAGGAGCUCCAGUCCACCGGGAAAUCAGAGACAAAGCACACCGUGGAGACUUUCUGGAAGCAAGUUCUCCGACAGUCUUUACAAAGGAGCCUUUUGGAGUAUGCAUCUCUGAGGCAGGUGCCCGUUUUUCAAAGGAGAAGUCAACUUUCGAGCCUACUGUGUUACCUCGUCUGCUUCCUGGGACCUCGCAGGACCAUCACGGGCUGCCCAGCCUUCCCUUCCUCCUGUGCCAGAGGCUGCAGUUUUAGCAGAAAAGAGCCAGUGCUGGCUCUGAAACGAUGGCCCUGA